This is a long non-coding RNA of Myzus persicae (green peach aphid), 1076 nucleotides long. RefSeq lists it as uncharacterized. NCBI's taxonomy places the organism in Eukaryota, Metazoa, Arthropoda, Insecta, Hemiptera, Aphididae. The transcript has 5 exons. The record is from RefSeq and is a predicted model, not a curated record.
UGAAAAACUUGAUCAUAAGUUGAUGAUUAAUCCACAGAUUAAAACUGUAUAUAAUGUACAACGUAUAUAAUUUGCAGCUUAUUAAAUAAAAUAUCUAUAAAGAUAUAUUGCUCAGAAACCAUUGGCACAUAAUGUGUCAUUCACACGCAUGAGCUGCUAAAUUUAAUAAAACAUGACGUGUAAAUGUGGUAUCAAUAAUAUUCCAUCCAUAUAAUAAUAAUGUUUUUCGUUUUUAUCUCUAUUAUUAGGAAUUGUUUUUUAUACUCCCGACAAGAUGGAAAAACAAUGUUGGGUAUGAACUAUGAAGUCUAUAGUGUGAAUGAAAUUAUAAUAAUUUAUAAUUGUAUUAAACCUAUUAACGAUCGAUAAGUUGAUGAUUUUGGAUGAGCAGUUGAAGUGGAAAAAUUACUACAAUACAGAGUCUGUAAACAAAACCCUUCAAAUGUGCUACCAAAUUAAAUUACAAAUAUUUUGGUUAAAAAGAUACUCGUCAAUAUUGAUACUAUAGCAUUUUCCAUCAGAAGAUAUUAUCAUAUAUUUAUGUAUAUGAAUAAUGGACAGUCAAUGCUGGUGUUUAACUUUCUAUCGUACGGAACCAAAUGUAUACUGAAGUUUUUUCAACUAUAAUAAAAGUUUUUUAGAUGUCCCAUGCCCAUCAUAUGAGAAGUGAGGAACCAGUACUAUGCCAAAACUGCAGUGAACUUUUAACAGUAGUGCACCUUUUGGUUAACUGUUGAAACUAUUGCAAACCUUGAAAUUCUGGAUAAUCUAUACAAACAUCUGAACCCUCCAGACGAAAAGAAGAUGAAGCUAUAACACAAUUAAAUAAAUGAUGAUAAUAAAGUUUUGGACAGCGUAAAAUCCCAAUAUUUGGUUUUUUUUACUAGAAGUUAUCCAACAGUUAACUCAGUUAUUGAUCGUAGUUAUAGUUCAGUAAUCGGAUGCAAAAGCUACUUCCUGAUAUCUACUGAACAAUUGCCAUCAAGUUUAUGUAGAUGGAUUUUGACCUAAAUUUGCUUUUAGUAAUAAAUAUUAAUCCUAUGUAUUCUUGGAAACAAAAUAUAUAUUUUCCCAAA